GCAAACCCAGAGAAAUCUGGCGGCGCAAAGCUAUAGGGACUAAACCGUAAGGUAUGUCAGCCAGUUGCCGU
RNAcentral lists this non-coding RNA (71 nucleotides) under pig gut metagenome. RNAcentral's name for it is "Cyclic di-GMP-I riboswitch". It matches the Rfam family "c-di-GMP-I riboswitch aptamer", at positions 12 to 85 of the family's 87-position model. From Rfam's summary of the family: GEMM was predicted in a large-scale screen for bacterial structured RNA regulatory elements. The record is from RNAcentral.